RNAcentral lists this ribosomal RNA (253 nucleotides) under uncultured bacterium. RNAcentral describes it as "partial 16S ribosomal RNA". It matches the Rfam family "Bacterial small subunit ribosomal RNA", at positions 524 to 776 of the family's 1533-position model. The record is from RNAcentral.
UACGUAGGGUGCAAGCGUUGUCCGGAAUUAUUGGGCGUAAAGAGCUUGUAGGCGGUUUGUCGCGUCUGCUGUGAAAUUUCGGGGCUCAACCCCGAACUUGCAGUGGGUACGGGCAGACUAGAGUGUGGUAGGGGAGACUGGAAUUCCUGGUGUAGCGGUGAAAUGCGCAGAUAUCAGGAGGAACACCGAUGGCGAAGGCAGGUCUCUGGGCCACUACUGGCGCUGAGAAGCGAAAGCAUGGGGAGCGAACAGG